Acanthosepion pharaonis is the source of this 108-nucleotide non-coding RNA. The record is from the annotation of a GenBank genome assembly. Lineage: Eukaryota; Metazoa; Mollusca; Cephalopoda; Sepiida; Sepiidae.
UUACGGCCAAAUCACGUUGAAACACUGGCUUUCGUCCGAUCGCCAAAGUUAAGACAUAUUUAGCCUGGUUAGUACCUAGAUGGGUGAUCGCUCGAGAAUACCAGGUAC